AUGAAGGCCGCACUCCGCGAAAUGAGAAAACUGACUUACUGGCUGCACUUGGAAAGUAUACGAACUCCUUGCAAAGUGGUGCUCUCAGGAACCUUGUUUCAGAAUCAUGUAAAACAGGUCUUCAACAUCUUGAACCUUGUCCGGCCAAAAUUCUUGAAAACGGAGGGAUCCCGGGCGAUAGUGAAGCACAUACUAAGCAAGGUGGACAUGUUGGGGAAAAAAUGCAAGGAUAUUCAGAACGUUAAAGGCAAAAACCGAUAUAUUGUCGUUGAGAAGAUCGGUUCCGUCAUGUGUGGAAUUGAUAUCAAAGUUGUCGCGAAGGCCAAGUUUAUAUACAAUCUGUUGUGUCUUUCAGAAGCGGCAGGAGAGAAAGUACUCGUGUUCAGUCGGUAUGUGCGUUUUCUGAUUUUCUUGGAAAUGCUGCUCGUAAGAGAGAAAGGAUGGAUUCCAGAGGUGCACAUUUUCAGCAUGACUAGUGAAUCAACUCCAGAUCAGCGAGACGAGGCUGUCGAGAGAUUCAACCAAUCACCGGAUGCUAAGGUUUUCUUCGGUUCCAUCAAGGCAUGCGGCGAGGGCAUCUCCCUCGUCGGUGCGUACGAAAACCCUUCCGUGAUGCGCCAGGCGAUCGGGCGUGCUUUCAGGCCAGGGCAGUCCAAAAUGGUGUACUGCUACCGCCUUGUCACUGCCGACUCGCCAGAAGAGGAGGACCACAACACGGCCUUUCGAAAGGAAUGGGUGUCCAAGAUGUGGUUCAAAUCGAACGAGCUUUGUGGAAAUGAUGGUUUUGAGCUUGCUGCUGUGGAUGUUUCAGAGAGCGGGGAUAGAUUUCUUGACAACGAGGCGUUGCGACAAGAUAUCAAAUCCCUAUACAAAAGGUAUGUGAACGACAGUGAUUUUAUUGUUCAUCCCUGGAGCCAAAACGUAACCGCUGAUCGUGGAUCGCUGCAAGAACAUCCUUACCUUGUGUGCUUUUCUUCUGAGGGGGAGAAUUACACAACGGUCGGUGCAGCUAACCGCCGGACAGUGUAG
This 1029-nucleotide ribosomal RNA is filed under the name Triticum aestivum (bread wheat). Its description in RNAcentral is "partial small subunit ribosomal RNA". Lineage: Eukaryota; Viridiplantae; Streptophyta; Magnoliopsida; Poales; Poaceae. The record is from RNAcentral.